Acinonyx jubatus (cheetah) is the source of this 561-nucleotide long non-coding RNA. RefSeq lists it as uncharacterized. The transcript is spliced from 3 exons. The record is from RefSeq and is a predicted model, not a curated record. Lineage: Eukaryota; Metazoa; Chordata; Mammalia; Carnivora; Felidae.
CCCCGUGCUAUCAGUUAUCUUUGGCCUGUGCAACCGUGAGAGACCUUAAUCUCUUGGGCGUCAGCGGGGAUUCUGUCUCCAGCACUAAACUCAUUUAAGGGAGAGGGGGUGCGUAUUAAUAAUGAAGAUAACCAAACAGCCCGGGCCGCGCUAUUCCCUGACCUGCCCCCAGGCGGGCCCUAAUGACCCGUUUGUGAAGUGCGCGCAGAGCCCCAGAUGAAAGGCGCCCAGGAUUCAUUUGAGGCAGCCCACAGGGAGGGGUGUCGCCGAGGAAACAGAAUCCAGGCCCCCCAGGCCUCUGACGGAAGGGACUGGAGCAUGCUGGGAAAACACAUCCACCUGAGGAGCACAAAAGACCCCAGGGGUGGAGGAAGCUGGCCUGAGGCCAACCGGAGGUCUGUGUGUGGUACUGGGAUUGCGGCAUGAAAACCUACAUAUGUCAGACCGUCUUCUACGGUGUUUGCACCAAAUUCUGUCCCCCGCCCAGCAAUGCGUAAGAGCUCCGUUUGCUCCAUACCCUUGCCAACAUGUGCUAUCAUCGGUCGUUCUGACUGGUCACCG